UUUAAUCAUCUAAAUUAUUGAUUGUAUAGAUCUUGUAAUGGAGGUACUUUUAUUAGUGCUUUCUAUUUGAGACCAAUAACCUAGCUCAUAUUUUUUAUUUAGCUAACUAUAUUAUAGUCUCUUUUCAUGACUAUGAUCUUUCACAUUCUUAUAUUACGUUUUAUCUCUUUCCUUUGACCAAAUCAAGCAGAAAGCAUUGACAUCAAAGAAACCCCAUCACCUAAUGCAUGAUGAUGAACUCUUAACACUACACAUUUUAACUCCACUAAAACAUGGACCUCCCAUAAUGGCUUGUUUUUGCUUAGUGGAGUUGACACUGCAAUAUCAGCUAAGUAAGCAUUUACGGCUGCAAUAUCACCUCCAUCCUUUGGUGGGAAUCUUAUGUUUUCCUUGAUCGUGCCUUAUAAGUAGAGAUGAGAGAGUAAACACAACUACACAACCCCUAUAUAAAGCCUUGUCAUUGCCACCAAAUUCACACACCAAAUUCACAUUGUAUUCCUUUUUUAGAGAUCCUUCAAACCUUCACUGCCCAACAACAAAACAAAUGGCCGAACAAUCAGAAAUUCUAUAUGCUAAACCCUACACUUGCAUUAUUCACAACCUUCCUAUCGAAUAUGAAAAUGGAAAGCCGGUAGGAAGAAGUUUGAAUGACCUUAGGGAGAUACUACAAUGCUUAGGGUUCAAGGUACGCAAAAUAACACCAAAGUGGACUCACAGAGGAUUCAUGAGCUAUGCAUUCAUCGAAUUCGGGACUAGUGAGGAGCAUUUCAAGUCGGCUUUUAAGCUUUAAGUGAAGUUUUAACAAGCUUCUCAUGGUAUAUUGAACUGGUUAGGUUUUGGUGAGAAAUCGGGGCCCUAUUAUGGAUGGCUAAGUCGAAUGAUUAUUUAUUUGUCAAUCAUCCAGUAGACUUUACUUCUGUCCCAGCCCGUUGGAGGAAGGAAGCGCGAACACUCGCCAAUGAAGACGAAACCACUGUUUUUGACAUAAUCAAAAGGUUCCUGCUAUCUUAGUUUAUAUACUCGUAUUUUAUUGUCAUGCUAUGUACUAGUUUUAUAUUUGAGGCGAGUUAUUUUUCUCAUGUUAUCUACUUAAAUCUGCAAGAAGUCAAUUGCAAUUAUAGUUUUAUAUUUUGGGAUGGACAUUCGACUUUGUAAUAAGUGUUUUUUGUUAGUGAAGUUUUAUCUAGUAAAAUGAGUUUAAGUUAUGAACA
Molecule: long non-coding RNA, 1211 nt
Organism: Beta vulgaris subsp. vulgaris (sugar beet)
Lineage: Eukaryota; Viridiplantae; Streptophyta; Magnoliopsida; Caryophyllales; Amaranthaceae
Exons: 2
Source: RefSeq, a predicted model, not a curated record